UUCUUUUUUUUUAGCGCGUAUUUUCAGAUUCUAACUUGAGCCUCUUGUGGUUUCAGCUAACUUGGAGCGAGGCUCCUUAUCCCGCACUUUUACUAACUGCUUUAUAAAUUUCUGCGGUGGUCAGACUGCUUGGGAGUCCGGAGAGAGCCCAUAAGAAGCAAGCGGAGCUCCGAGAGAAGGAGCUGAAUAGAAAGAUUGAU
This 200-nucleotide long non-coding RNA is filed under the name Capsella rubella. RNAcentral's name for it is "long non-coding RNA (CRUB_LNC002252)". The record is from RNAcentral. Lineage: Eukaryota; Viridiplantae; Streptophyta; Magnoliopsida; Brassicales; Brassicaceae.